CCUACGGGAGGCAGCAGUGAGGAAUAUUGGUCAAUGGACGAGAGUCUGAACCAGCCAAGUAGCGUGAAGGAUGACUGCCCUAUGGGUUGUAAACUUCUUUUAUAUGGGAAUAAAAUGUUCCACGUGUGGGAUUUUGUAUGUACCAUAUGAAUAAGGAUCGGCUAACUCCGUGCCAGCAGCCGCGGUAAUACGGAGGAUCCGAGCGUUAUCCGGAUUUAUUGGGUUUAAAGGGAGCGUAGGUGGAUUGUUAAGUCAGUUGUGAAAGUUUGCGGCUCAACCGUAAAAUUGCAGUUGAAACUGGCAGUCUUGAGUACAGUAGAGGUGGGCGGAAUUCGUGGUGUAGCGGUGAAAUGCUUAGAUAUCACGAAGAACUCCGAUUGCGAAGGCAGUUCACUGGACUGCAACUGACACUGGGGCUCGAAAGUGUGGGUAUCAAACAGGAUUAGAUACCCGUGUAGUC
RNAcentral lists this ribosomal RNA (460 nucleotides) under uncultured bacterium. Its description in RNAcentral is "partial 16S ribosomal RNA". It matches the Rfam family "Bacterial small subunit ribosomal RNA", at positions 338 to 795 of the family's 1533-position model. The record is from RNAcentral.